ACGACCUUACUUGAACAGGAUCUGUUCUAUAGGAUCGGACCUCUGUAUCCUUAAUCACUAAGGAGACAGGAACUUAAACCUGGUUGAGGAAUCAUGACCGUGUGAUCAUAGCGUGAAUAAUGGCUUGAUGGCCCUCGUGAUCAUCAUGGCUGUAGAGGAUCGUUUCUCAGCUAUUAACAUGGCUGGGAAUGGUCAUGCGGUUGUCUGACAGGUU
Populus trichocarpa (black cottonwood) is the source of this 214-nucleotide non-coding RNA. The record is from Rfam. Lineage: Eukaryota; Viridiplantae; Streptophyta; Magnoliopsida; Malpighiales; Salicaceae.